UUCCUUGUGGCCCAAUGGCAAGGCGUCCGCCUACGAUGAAUACGUUUGUAUGUAGCGGGAGAUUCCAGGUUCGACCCCUGGCAGGGAAG
RNAcentral lists this transfer RNA (89 nucleotides) under Lipomyces starkeyi. RNAcentral's name for it is "tRNA-Arg". It matches the Rfam family "tRNA". Rfam says of the family: Transfer RNA (tRNA) molecules are approximately 80 nucleotides in length. RNAcentral also lists the same sequence under 1 other name. Lineage: Eukaryota; Fungi; Ascomycota; Lipomycetes; Lipomycetales; Lipomycetaceae. The record is from RNAcentral.